AAGACUCUAGUAAAAUUCAAUUACCUUGCCUUGUCAAGGCGAAAUUGUGGGUUGGACCCCCACGUGUCUUG
This 71-nucleotide transfer RNA is filed under the name Harpadon microchir. Its description in RNAcentral is "tRNA-Asp". It matches the Rfam family "tRNA". Rfam says of the family: Transfer RNA (tRNA) molecules are approximately 80 nucleotides in length. The record is from RNAcentral. Lineage: Eukaryota; Metazoa; Chordata; Actinopteri; Aulopiformes; Synodontidae.